GAAUUCACUGCUAUUACCACGUUUCCUCCCAUCCUGAAGCAGAUAGCCUGAUAGAAUUAAGGAAUGACCUUUUGGAGACACAGUUACAGUGCCAAUUGGGUAGCAGCAGCUUGGAGGGCUGGGGUAGGAUUCCUCAGAAGGAGUAUAUGCUUUGAAUCAGCAUCCAAUAUAUUGUAUAGUUUCUCCCAUAGCAAGGAUACACAGGUCUCAGUAUUGAGGUGUAAAAAAACGGAACAGGCCCUCUCAAUAUUACCCAUAGCGACCCACUAGGAAAGUUUUGCUUCCUGUUCCUGUGACCUUAAGCUCUGCUGAACUUGAAGUUUUGGUUCCAGAGCAGGGAAAACUUCUGCCAGAAGACACAACAAACAUUCCAUUGAACUGUUCUCCCUGGCCACUUAGGCCCUCUGAUGCUCCUAAGUAAACAGGCAAUGAAAGGAAUGACAGUGUUAGGAGGGAUGAUUGAUCCAGAUUUCCAAGGGGAAAUUGCAUUGCUUCUCUACAAUAGUGGUAAGGAAGAUUAUGUCUGGUGUGCAGGAGAUUCUUCAGGGCAUCUCUUGGUGCUGCUAUGUCCUGUGAUUAGUCAAUGGAAAACUACAACAGCCCAAUCCAAGAAGGAUAACCAAGGGCACAGACUCUUCAGGAAUGAAGGUGUGGGUCCAGGAAAAGAGCUGAGACCUGCUGAGAGUGGAGGGAAUACAGAAUGGGUAAUAAAGGAAGGUAGUUACAAAUACCAAAUAAGGCCAGGUGACCAGUUGCAGAAAUGAGGAUUAUAAUUGACAUGAGUGUUUCUAUCGUUUUGUUGUUGUUAAGAAUGUGUUUGUACAGAUUUUUGUAUUUUCUUUCUUCAAUUUCCUUACCAUGUAAUGUAACAUCAAUUAAGAGAAUAUCAGUGGCUAACAUAUUUAAGUUUAAGAUACUAAAAGAAUGUCCUUCAAGCUCCAUUGCCAUCUAUUCUAUAAUUAAUACUGUGUUUGUGGUUACAUAAGGGAUAGUUAUAUCAUGUUAGGCGUAAUUGUGACCUGGUUAUAUAUGUAAUGGGUCUAUAAUUGUACAUAAUAUAGUUAUUCCAUGUUAAGGAUAUGAUCUGGUGAUAUUUUCAUUUAGAAAUUAAGCAUGUCUUUUUUGUGAAAAAAAAGAAAGCUAUUUAUUUAUUUAUGUAUUAAGCAUGUCUUAAGGAGAUGUGAUUGUGUGUUAAGUUGGCAAGGGAUGGACUUGGGAUGGCUAUUUUUGAUUGUCAAUUUGACUACUUCUAGAAUUAACUAAAACUGAAGCAACUGGGUACAUCUGUGAGGUAUUUUUCUUAAUUCAAUAAUUUGAAGUGGGAAAAUCCACUUUAAAUCCAGAUCUUUUAGGGUGGAAAAAUCCACCUUUAAUCUGGGACACAGAUUCUGCUGGCAACCUAUAUAAAGGACAAGGAGUUCUCAUUCUUGCUGACAAAUCCAUUCCUUCACUGGGAUUAGAGUAUAAUUCUUUAGGGUCUGCCAUAUACUGGAACCAGCUGAGACAUUCAGCCUCAAGGACUGAACAAUUACAAGAUUCUUGGACCUUCCAUUGGUAGACAGCCAUUUUGGAGUACCUGGACCACACAGCCUAUGGGACAAGCUGAUCUGGUCCUGCCACCACAGAUCAAACCGUUCCUGUCUUGCCAGGUUACCAUACGGCUCUGACUUUAGGGGUGAUGCCUGUGCCUGCUGCCAUUUUGGUGAUGACCAUUACUGCCUACUUAGUGACUGGGUCUUGCAACUCCUGUGUGCUUCAGAGGCCUCUUGUGACUAGAGUUUUGCUCUGAGAUUUUGAUAGAGGGGCCGUCUGUGCAUCUUUCCAUAGUGACCCUUCAUGCUGGUUAUAUGUUUACAGCACCCCUCAUCAUCCCUCCAGCUGGUUCCCAAUCUCUAUUCCCAAACCACCUGACUCUGAACCUCCGUUAGCUGGGGCCACACCAUUCUAAAGCUCCUCCAUUUUGGUUGAACUGUGACAAUUCUGGAACUUAAAAUCAUUUGGUUUCCAGAACUAAAAUAAUUUAUUUCUAUAGAAAUAUAGGGCCUUGCCCUCAACAUCCUGAUUCCUAGGCUUGAGCCAGGA
Molecule: non-coding RNA, 2082 nt
Organism: Peromyscus maniculatus bairdii (prairie deer mouse)
Lineage: Eukaryota; Metazoa; Chordata; Mammalia; Rodentia; Cricetidae
Source: RefSeq, a predicted model, not a curated record